AUUGAACGCUGGCGGCAUGCCUCACACAUGCAAGUCGAACGGCAGCACGGGUGCUUGCACCUGGUGGCGAGUGGCGAACGGGUGAGUAAUACAUCGGAACAUGUCCUGUAGUGGGGGAUAGCCCGGCGAAAGCCGGAUUAAUACCGCAUACGAUCCACGGAUGAAAGCGGGGGACCUUCGGGCCUCGCGCUAUAGGGUUGGCCGAUGGCUGAUUAGCUAGUUGGUGGGGUAAAGGCCUACCAAGGCGACGAUCAGUAGCUGGUCUGAGAGGACGACCAGCCACACUGGGACUGAGACACGGCCCAGACUCCUACGGGAGGCAGCAGUGGGGAAUUUUGGACAAUGGGCGAAAGCCUGAUCCAGCAAUGCCGCGUGUGUGAAGAAGGCCUUCGGGUUGUAAAGCACUUUUGUCCGGAAAGAAAUCCUUGACUCUAAUACAGUCGGGGGAUGACGGUACCGGAAGAAUAAGCACCGGCUAACUACGUG
This 486-nucleotide ribosomal RNA is filed under the name uncultured bacterium. Its description in RNAcentral is "partial 16S ribosomal RNA". It matches the Rfam family "Bacterial small subunit ribosomal RNA", at positions 30 to 507 of the family's 1533-position model. The record is from RNAcentral.